RNAcentral lists this ribosomal RNA (460 nucleotides) under uncultured bacterium. RNAcentral describes it as "partial 16S ribosomal RNA". It matches the Rfam family "Bacterial small subunit ribosomal RNA", at positions 338 to 795 of the family's 1533-position model. The record is from RNAcentral.
CCUACGGGGGGCAGCAGUGAGGAAUAUUGGUCAAUGGACGGAAGCCUGAACCAGCCAAGUAGCGUGCAGGAUGACGGCCCUACGGGUUGUAAACUGCUUUUAUGCGGGGAUAAACCGCCUUACGUGUAGGGCUUUGCAUGUACCGUAUGAAUAAGGACCGGCUAAUUCCGUGCCAGCAGCCGCGGUAAUACGGAAGGUCCGGGCGUUAUCCGGAUUUAUUGGGUUUAAAGGGAGCGUAGGCCGCACGUCAAGCGUGCUGUGAAAUGCCCGGGCUCAACCCGGGCCGUGCAGCGCGAACUGGCGUGCUUGAGUCCGCGGAAAGCAGGCGGAAUUCGUGGUGUAGCGGUGAAAUGCUUAGAUAUGACGAAGAACUCCGAUUGCGAAGGCAGCCUGCCGCAGCGGAACUGACGCUGAUGCUCGAAAGCGCGGGUAUCGAACAGGAUUAGAUACCCCUGUAGUC